GAAUAUUGCACAAUGGGCGAAAGCCUGAUGCAGCAACGCCGCGUGCGCGAUGAAGACCUUCGGGUUGUAAAGCGCUUUUCGAGGGGAUGAGAAAGGACAGUACCCUCGGAAUACGGAUCGGCUAACUACGUGCAAGCAGCCGCGGUAACACGUGGGAUCCGAGCGUUAUCCGGAUUUACUGGGCGUAAAGCGCGUGCAGGUGGUGCGGGUAGUUGGAUGUGAAAGCUCCUGGCUCAACUGGGAGAGGCCGUUCAAUACUGCCGGACUAGAGGGCGAUAGAGGGAGGUGGAAUUCCCGGUGUAGUGGUGAAAUGAGUAGAUAUCGGGAGGAACACCAGAGGCGAAAGCGGCCUCCUGGAUCGACCCUGACGCUAAGACGCGAAAGCUAGGGGAGCGAACGGG
This 401-nucleotide ribosomal RNA is filed under the name uncultured bacterium. RNAcentral's name for it is "bacterial SSU rRNA". It matches the Rfam family "Bacterial small subunit ribosomal RNA", at positions 359 to 776 of the family's 1533-position model. The record is from RNAcentral.